GCGGGGGUAGCCAAGUGGUCAAAGGCGCAGCGUUGAGGGCGCUGUCCUGUAGAGGUUCCGGGGUUCAAAUCCUCGCUCCCGCA
Molecule: transfer RNA, 83 nt
Filed under: Nanohaloarchaea archaeon QH_8_44_6
Lineage: Archaea; Methanobacteriati; Methanobacteriota; Candidatus Nanohaloarchaea
Also listed under: 1 other name
Description: tRNA-Leu
Rfam family: tRNA
About the family: Transfer RNA (tRNA) molecules are approximately 80 nucleotides in length. Their secondary structure includes four short double-helical elements and three loops (D, anti-codon, and T loops). Further hydrogen bonds mediate the characteristic L-shaped molecular structure. tRNAs have two regions of fundamental functional importance: the anti-codon, which is responsible for specific mRNA codon recognition, and the 3' end, to which the tRNAs corresponding amino acid is attached (by aminoacyl-tRNA synthetases). tRNAs cope with the degeneracy of the genetic code in two manners: having more than one tRNA (with a specific anti-codon) for a particular amino acid; and 'wobble' base-pairing, i.e. permitting non-standard base-pairing at the 3rd anti-codon position.
Source: RNAcentral